UAGGCUGAAGUUGAUCAUAUGGCACUUGAAGGUUGUUGAACGUCUCAACGGAUAGAACAUUGAGCCCUGUGCCGCCAUCGAUGAGGGUCCUGGUGACUUGCACAUUGCUGAUGACUGGGGAACAAAGCAUCGGGAGGACGCCACUGGUACCCGCACACUUGAGUUGAUCUGCUGAGCUGAAGGUGAUGGCGCACUUGGACCACCUGAGCGGGCGCGUGGCCUCAAGCCUGGGGAGGACUGCAUUCACCUCGCGAGCAAACUGCUUGAAGAUGUGCUGAGAGGAUGGGGCUUGAGCUCUUCCCAAGAUGCAAGCGAUAGCAUGUGGCUCCUGGAAGCCCCCAGCCCCCUCGUCCUGGUGGUGGUCGUCAUUCCUUCUUGGGGGUGGCGGAAGAGGGGGAAGGACUGCACGGGAGAGCCCCCUGUGGCAUUGACGAGCUCGGUGAUGCGAGCGAGCCACUCUUUGUAGAGGUCGUCGACGGGGCGAUAGUGUAGGAGCUCACAUGCCAGGAGUAGCAUGGCCUGCGCAUCCGUGGGGGCGCGACCAGCGUGGGACGACGAACCAGCUGGGGUCAGCGUCGGAGUGGCAGUGCGGCCUUCCCGCUGCACCAGGGGGUGUAGCGAAGAUGCUUGCUGCUCAUUCCUCAUCGGGCUGGUGGUGGUGUUGGCGGCAGGCAACGGAUAACGACGAGGAGGCCCACCAACGGGAGCCGUCUAGGCGACGCAGGCGGCGAGAGCAGCCCGGCACAUGGCGCGGGCUCGGCGAGCGUCUGCCAUGGAUGCGACGAAGCGAUGGGAUGCGGAUCAGCGGAAAGAAUAUUUUGGCGCACCCUUACCUGGCAGGCCAAAUGUUGGAUAUCGGGUUCCGACAAAACCCUUAAGGUUCGAACACUGGGGUGCGCACGAAGAUCUCUCCCUACCGAAACACGCCCUCAGCCUCGCCGCGAUCCCUAAGCUAGAUCAAAGAACAACAGAAGGGACACAAGAUUUAUACAGGUUCAGGCCACCGUUGUGGUGUAAUACCCUACUCCUGUGUGUGGUGUGGUGGAUUGCCUCUUGGGCUGAUGAUGAACAGUACAAGGGAAGAAUAGCCUCACGAGGAGAGGUGUUCUUGCGUUUGGUGGUGUGCUUGAGGAGGCAUCGAUCUCCCUCUCUAUGGUGGUAGCUAGAUCUAUUUAUAGAGGCCCUGGUCCUCUUCCCAAAUAUUGAGCGGGAAGGGAUCCAACAACGGCCAUUUUGAAAGGGGACAACUAGUACAAGCUAUCCUGACUAAAGGUGGUCUUCGCCUGCCAAAGGCACUGGUGGUGACGCCGUCUUGGGCUCCAUGGUGACCUCCGUCCUGCCGUCCUGCCGGCCUUGGUCCUGAUGCCUCGGUACUCCGCGCCUGUGCUUGCCCCUUUGAACCAAAGUGGAAACGAGGACACUGUGCGAGCUGGCACCCGCCUGGUCUUGAUUGUCAUGGCUUGCGUCAUGGGCACCUCGCGAGGUACCCCUUGCCUUGAUCUCUCCGCCUCCUCGCGAGCCUGCCUGGUGAGGCCACCCCUGAGGAGGCCGCGCAUCGUCCGCCCUGCGAGGCUUGGCCCCUCGCGAGGGUCUUGAGUGUUGGUUGAUGAAGAUGAGCUGUACAGGGCCACUGGUUGAGCCGCACUGCAGGACGCAGGCGGACAAGUCUAGGGACCCCAGUUCCCAGAACACCGACAAGGAGGGCGGUGAGAGGAGGGCUGCCGGCGGAGGGCUUGGCCGGAGGAGGAGGGCAGCGACGGGAGGGGAGAGGAGGGCGGCGAGAGGAAGGGGAGAGGAGGCCAGAGGGGGAGGGAGGAAGGAAGAUACACUGGUGGGCGAUGGUGGCGACGGCGUGCGGCGGAGUGCGAGUGAGAGUGUGAGGGGAGAGUGAGGAUGUGCGCGGGCGGGGCCAUGUGGAUAAGUUACUCGUAGUAGUAGCGUUGGUCUGUAACCACCGCUACUGCUAACACUACUAGGAAAACGGCUAUAGCUAAUAUAGACAUUAAUGGCGCACCAUGUAUGUGGUGCGCCACUGUUAUAUAGCAGUGGCGCAUCAGAUAUAGGUACGCCAUUAUUGGCCACAUUACUAAUGGUGCACCUAGUGUGUGGUGCGCCAUUACGAGUUUUGAAAAAAAAGAUUAAAAAAAUUGCUAGCAGUGGCGCACCAGGGGAUAGUGCACCAUUACUAUUUUUAACUAGUAAUGGAGCACUAUCCACUGGUGCGCCACUACUCACAUGUUUUUUUAUUUAUUUUUUUCAAAACUAGUAAUGGCGCACCACACACCAUGGGCGCCAUUAGUAACCCUGGUUACUAAUGGCGCAUUCUUAGGUGGUGCGCCAUUGGUAACCUGGGAGCAGCUAGAUAUUUUGGACAGCCACCUACCACACUCACUUUCCUCACUUCAUUCUCUCCACCUCUACCAAGCUUGGUCUCGACUUCCUCCUCCUCCUCACCUCAUUUGCACCAUAGAUUCACCCAAAUUAAGUGGUUAAAUUUCGUUUAUUUGAUAGGUAAGUAAGGGGAAAGCUUUCUUUAUGUUCUAGAUCUACUUUUUUCUCCCUCCAACAACGUACACACUUUUUAUGGCCUAGAUCUACGUAUGUUUGUGGUGUUGCAUAUGUUUCUGUUUGCAGGUACCGGUAUUUAAAAUGCGAUAGUUGCCAAUAUUUUUCCGGAAUGUUGAUUCAUUUCCGUUUCGGCGAGAAUUUGGCACUAUGCAUUCUUUUUGGUCCUAUUUUUAGGCAAAGUCAUGCCAAAUUUUUUUGGUUCUAAAAUAUCGUUUUGCUCUACCCUGCAGGCGACCAUCGUCCGCACGAUGGCUGAAGGCAUCGCGAAUAAGUUUUUGAGCUCCGUGAAGGACGAGAUGCUUCAAAAGAACGAGACGGAGAUAAGAUGUCCGUGUCGAAGAUGCAAGCUGAAGAGCCUUAUGGACCCGGAUUCCGUACAGGUGUGAUGUCUACUACACAACCUUCUCCUUGUAGACGUUGUUGGGCCUGCAAGUGCACAGGUUUGUAGGACAGUAGCAAAUUUCCCUCAAGUGGAUGACCUAAGGUUUAUCAAUCCAUAGGAGGCGUAGGAUGAAGAUGGUCUCUCUCAAGCAACCCUGCAACCAAAUAACAAAAAGUCUCUUGUGUCCCCAACACACCCAAUACAAUGGUAAAUUGUAUAGGUGCACUAGUUCGGAGAAGAGAUGAAGAUACAAGUGCAAAAUAGAUAGUAGAUAUAGGUUUUUGUAAUCUGAAAAUAUAAAAACAGCAAGGUAACAAGUGGUAAAAGUGAGCGUAAACGGUAUUGCAAUGAUAGGAAACAAGGCCUAGGGUUCAAACUUUCACUAGUGCAAGUUCUCUCAACAAUAAUAACAUAGAUAGAUCAUAUAACAAGCCCUCAACAUGUAACAAAGAGUCACUCCGAAGCCACUAAUAGUGAGAACAAACAUAGAGAUUAUGGUAGGGUACGAAACCACCUCAAAGUUAUUCUCUCGGAUCAAUCUAUAAAAGAGUUCGUACUAGAAUAACACCUUAAGACACAAAUCAACCAAAACCCUAAUGUCACCUAGAUACUCCAUUGUCACCUCAAGUAUCCGUGGGCAUGAUUAUACGAUAUGCAUCACACAAUCUCAGAUUCAUCCAACCAACAUAAAAGUACUUCAAAGAGUGCCCCAAAGUUUCUAUCGGAGAGUCAAGAACAUGUGCCAACCCCUAUGCAUAGGUUCCCAAUGUCACGAAACCCGCAAGUUGAUCACCAAAACAUACAUCAAGUGGCACAUGAUAUCCCAUUGUCACCACAGAUAAUCACGACAAGACAUACAUCAAGUGUUCUCAUAAAGACUCAAUCCGAUAAGAUAACUUCAAAGGGGAAACUCAAUUCAUCACAAGAGAGUAGAGGGGGAGAAAUAUCAUAAGAUCCAACUACAAUAGCAAAGCUUGGGAUACAUCAAGAUCGUGCCAUAGAGGAACACGAGAGAGAACAUGAGAGAGAGAGAGAGAUCAAACACAUAGCUACUGGUACAUACCCUCAGCCCCGAGGGUGAACUACUCCCUCCUCCUCAUGGAUAGCACCGGGAUGAUGAAGAUGGCCACCGGUGAUGGGAUCCCCCUUCGGCAGGGUGCCGGAACGGGCUCCCGAGAGGUUUUUGGUGGCUACAGAGGCUUGCGGCGGUGGAACUCCCGAUCUAUCUUCUGUUCUGGAAGUUUUGGGGUACGUAGGUAUAUAUGGGUGAAAGGAAUAUGUCGGUGGAGCUACGGGGGCCCCAUGAGGCAGGGGGCGCGCCCGAGGGGGGGGGGCGCGCCCCCCACCCUCGUGGGCAGCCCGUAUCUCCCCUGACGUGCACUCCAAGUUCCCUGGGUUGCUUUCCUUCCAAAAAUAACUUCUCCAGUUGAUUUCGUUCCGUUUUGACUCCGUCUGAUAUUCCUUUUCCUCGAAACACUAAAAUAGGCAUAAAAUAGCAAAUCUGGGCUGGGCCUCCGGUUAAUAGGUUAGUCCCAAAAAUAAUAUAAAAGUGGAUAAUAAAGCCCAAUAUUUCCCAAAACAGUAGAUAAAGUAGCAUGGAGCAAUCAAAAAUUAUAGAUACGUUGGAGACGUAUCAAGCAUCCCCAAGCUUAAUUCCUGCUCGUCCUUGAGUAGGUAAAUGGUAAAAAAGAAUUUUUUAUGCGGAGUGAUACUUGGCAUAAUUUCAAUGUAAUUCUUCUUACUUGUGAUAUGAAUAUUCAGAUCCGAAAGAUUCAAGACAAAAGUUCAUAUUGACAUGAAAAAUAAUAAUACCUCAAGCAUACUAAUCAAAGCAAUCAUGUCUUCUCAAAAUAGCAUGGCAAAAGAAAGUUCAUCCCUACAAAAUCAUAUAGUUAGGCUAUGCUUCAUUUUAGUCACACAAAGAUGUUCCCAACUUCUAUACCCCCGAUGACAAGCCAAGCAAUUGUUUCAUACUCAAAUAAUCUCAAACUUUUUCAACCUUCACGCAAUACAUGAGCGCGAGCCAUGGAUAUAGCACUAUGGGUGGAAUAGAGUAUGAUGAUGGGGAUUGUGUGGAGGAGACAAAAAAAGAGAAAGUCUCACAUUGAUGAGGCUAAUCAACGGGCUAUGGAGAUGCCCAUCAAUUGAUGUCAAAAUGAGCAGUAGGGAUUGCCAUGCAACGGAUGCACUAGAGCUAUGAAUGCUCAACAAAAGAAAACUAGUGGGUGUGCAUCCAAAUCGCUUGCUCACGAAGACCUAGGGCAUUUGAGGAAGCCCAUCAUAGGAAUAACAAGCCAAAUUCUAUAAUGAAAAAUACCCACGAGUGUAAAAAGACAACUUAUGAUACUCACUACAUGAAGAACAAGGUGCUACUUUGAAGCACAAUAUAUGAGACUCACUAUAUGAAGAACAAGGUGCUACUUUGAAGCACAAGUGUGGAAAAAGAGAUAGUAGCAUUGCCCUUUUUUGGGCCUUUUUUUGCCUUUCUCUUUUUUUUGGGCAAUGCUCUAAUAAUGAUGAUCAUCACACUUCUAUUGAUUACGACAUGAGGAUUACAACUCGAAACUUAGAACAAGAUAUGACUCUAUAUGAAUGCCUCCGGCGGUGUACCGGGAUGGUGCAAUGAAUCAAGAGUGACAUGUAUGGAAAAUAAUGCAUGGUGGCUUUGCCACAAAUACGAUGUCAUCUGCAUGAUCAUGCAAUGGCAAUAGGAUAAAAGUAAUGUAUGUCAUGAUGAUGAUAAAUGGAGCGGUGGAAAGUUGCAUGGCAAUAUAUCUCGGAAUGGCUAUGGAAAUGCCAUAAUAGGUAGGUAUGGUGGCUGUUUUGAGGAAGAUAUAAGGAGGUUUAUGUGUGAUAGAGCGUAUCAUAUCACGGGGUUUGGAUGCACCGGCGAAGUUUGCACCAACUCUCAAGGUGAGAAAGGGCAAUGCACGGUACCGAAGAGGCUAGCAAAGGCGGAAAGGUAAAAGUGUGUAUAAUCCAUGGACUCAACAUUAGUCAAAAGAACUCAUAUACUUAUUGCAAAAGUUUUAUUAGCCCUCAAAGCAAAGUACUACUAUACAUGCUCCUAGGGGGAGAGGUUGGUAGCAGUUAACCAUCGUGCGCCCCCGACCUCCACUCAAGGGAAGGCAAUCAAAAGAGCACCCCAUGCAAUAAAUUUGUUACACAACUUUUACCAUACGUGCAUGCUACGGGAGUUGCCAACUUCAACACAAGUAUUCUUUAAAUUCAUAAUCACCCAACUAGCAUGACUUUAAUAUCACCACCUCCAUAUCUCAAAACAAUUAUCAAGCAUCAAACUUUUCUUAGUAUUCAACACACUCAUAAGAAAGUUUCACAUAUCUUGAAUACCAAGUAUAUUAAUAUUAAGCAAAUUACCAUGCUAUUAACAACUCUCAAAAUAAUCUAAGUGAAGCAUGAGAGUUCAUAUAUUUCUUCAAAAUAAAACCACCACCGUGCUCUAAAAAAUCUAAGUGAAGAACUAGAGCAAAAAUUAUCACGCUCAAAAGAUAUAAGUGAAGCACUAUGAGCCAUAACAAAAACUACUCCGAAAGAUAUAAAUGAAGAUCAAUGAGUAGUCGAAUAAUUAUGCAACUAUGUGAAGACUCUCCCAUUUAAUAAUUUUAGAUCUUGAUACUUUAUUCAAACAUCAAGCAAAGCUAAAGAAAACUACAUUGCAAGGAUAGCACAACUCAUGUGAAGAACCAAAAACUUAGGCUCAACCGAUACUAACCGAUAGUUGUUGAAGAAGAAAGGUGGGAUGCCUACUGGGGCAUCCCCAAGCUUAGAUGCUUGAGACUUCUUGGAAUAUUGUCUUGGGGUCCCUUGGGUAUCCCCAAGCUUGAACUUUUGUGUCUCCUUAAUUCCUCUCAUAUCAUGGUUUCUCUUAUUAUCAAAAGCUGCAUUCACAACAAACUCAACAAGAACUCGUGAGAUAGGUUAGUAUAAACCAAUGCAAAACCUUAUCAUAAUCUACUAUAACAAAUCACUAAAAUAAUUAUUCAACAUUGCAUACUAAAUGCCUCUGUAUAUUUAAUACUCCUAUCCUCAAAUGGAAUCAUUAAACAAGCAAACAUACGCAAACAACGCAAACAUAACAGCAAUCUGCCAAAACAGUACAGUCUGUAAAGAAUGCAAGAGUAUCAAUACUUACCUGACUCCAAAAAUUAUGAACUAAAAUUCCCACUGUAAUAAAUUUAUCAGAGCUCAGUAUGCAAAAAGAUUCAACAUUACACCACUCUCUGACUUUUCUAGGGAAUUUUUGCAACAGCGGUAAACUUUCUAUUUUCAAACAGCAACAUGUAUACUAGCAAAAUAAGCAUGGCAAAGGCUAUCCUUGACUUCUUUAUUGAAACUAAAGAUGCAAAACAUUAUUCUAAAUAACAGCAAGCAAAAACUAACAAAAGGAAAUGACGCUCCAAGCAAAACACAUAUCAUGUGGUGAAUAAAAAUAUAGCUCCAAGUAAAGUUACCGAUGAAUGAAGACGAAAGAGGGGAUGCCUUCCGGGGCAUCCCCAAGCUUAGGCUCUUGGUUGUCCUUGAAUAUCUUGGGGUUCCAUGGGCAUCCCCAAGCUUAGGCUCUUACCACUCCUUAUUCCAUAGUCCAUCGAAUCCUUACCCAAAACUUGAAAACUUCACAACACAAAACUCAACAGAAAACACAUAAGCUCCGUUAGUAUAAGAAAAUAAAACCACCACUUAGGUACUGUAGUGAACUCAUUAUAAAUUCAUAUUGGUGUAAUAUCUACUAUAUUCCUACUUAUCUAUGGUUCAUACCUUCCGAUACUACUCAUACAUUCAUCAAAAUAAGAAAACAACACAUAGAAAACAGAAUCUGUCAAAAACAGAACAGUCUGUAGUAAUCUGUAUCAAACGUAUACUUAUGGAACUCCAAAACUUCUACCAAAUUAGGACGACCUGAGGAAUUUGUGUACCAACCCAUAGCAAAAAGAAUCAGAUCAGAAGUACGUUUCUGUGAAUUAACAAAACUAAUUUACUGGGUGCAAAAGUUUCUGAAUUUCAGCAGGAUCAACACGACUAUCACCGUAAGCUAUCCUAAAGGUCUUACUUGGCACUUUAUUGAAACAAAACCUAUAAAACAUGAUUACUACAGUAGCAUAAUCAUGUGGACACACAAAAACAGUAAGGAUAAAUAUUGGGUUGUCUCCCAACAAGCGCUUUUCUUUAAUGCUUUCUAGCUAGGCAUGAUGAUGACAAUGAUGCUCACAUAAAAGAUAAGAAUUGGAACAUAACGGGAGCAUCAUGAAGCAUAUGACUAGCAAAUUUAAGUCUAACUCACUUCCUAUGCAUAGGGAUUUUGUGAGCAAACAACUUAUGGGAACAAUAAUCAACUUGCAUAGGAAGGUAAAACAAGCAUAACUUCAAGAUUUUAAGCACAUAGAGAGGAAACUUGACAUUAUUGCAACUCCUACAAGCAUAUGUUCCUCCCUCAUAAUAAUUUUCAGUAGCAUCAUGAAUGGAUUCAAAAAUAUAACCAGCACCUAAAGCAUUCUUUUCAUGAUCUACUAGCAUAGAAAAUUUACUACUCCCCUCAUAAGCAAAAUUCUUCUCAUGAAUAGUAGUGGGAGCAAACUCAACAAAAUAACUAUCAUGUGACUGAAAAUUAAAAUCAAGAUGACAAGUUUCAUGGUUAUCACUAUUCUUUAAAGCAUACGUGUCAUCACAAUAAUCAUCAUAGAUAGGAGGCAUGCUUUCAUCAUAGUAAAUUUGCUCAUUAAAGCUUGGGGGACAAAAAAUAUCAUCUUCAUCAAACAUAGCUUCCCCAAGCUUGUGACUUUGCAUAUCAUUAGCAUCAUGGAUAUUCAAGGAAUUCAUACUAACAACAUUGCAAUCAUGCUCAUCAUUCACAUAUUUCAUGCCAACCAAUCUAUGUAAUUCUUCUUCUAGCACUUGAGCACAAUUUUCCUUUCCAUCAAACUCACGAAAGAUAUUAAAAAGACGAAGCGUAUGAGACAAACUCAACUCCAUUUUUUUGUAGUUUCCUUUUAUAAACUAAACUAGUGAUAAAACAAGAAACAAAAAGAUUCAAUUGCAAGAUCUGAAGAUAUACCUUCAAGCACUCACCUCCCUGGCAACAGCGCCAGAAAAGAGCUUGAUGUCUACUACACAACCUUCUCCUUGUAGACAUUGUUGGGCCUGCAAGUGCACAGGUUUGUAGGACAGUAGAAAAUUUCCCUCAAGUGGAUGACCUAAGGUUUAUCAAUCUGUAGGAUGCGUAGGAUGAAGAUGGUCUCUCUCAAGCAACCCUGCAACCAAAUAACAAAAAGUCUCUUGUGCCCCCAACACACCCAAUACAAAGGUAAAUUGUAUAGGUGCACUAGUUUGGCGAAGAGAUGAAGAUACACGUGCAAAAUAGAUAGUAGAUAUAGGUUUUUGUAAUCUGAAAAUAUAAAAACAGCAAGGUAACAAGUGGUAAAAGUGAGCGUAAAAGGUAUUGCAAUGAUAGGAAACAACGCCUAGGGUUCAUACUGUCACUAGUGCAAGUUCCCUCAACAAUAAUAACAUAGAUAGAUCAUAUAACAAGCCCUCAACAUGUAACAAAGAGUCACUCCGAAGCCACUAAUAGCGGAGAACAAACGUAGAGAUUAUGGUAGGAUACGAAACCACCUCAAAGUUAUUCUCUCGGAUCAAUCUAUAAAAGAGUUCGUACUAGAAUAACACCUUAAGACACAAAUCAACCAAAACCCUAAUGUCACCUAGAUACUCCAUUGUUACCUCAAGUAUCCGUGGGCAUGAUUAUACGAUAUGCAUCACACAAUCUCAGAUUCAUCCAACCAACAUAAAAGUACUUCAAAGAGUGCGCCAAAGUUUCUAUCGGAGAGUCAAGAACGUGUGCCAACCCCUAUGCAUAGGUUCCCAAUGUCACGAAACCCGCAAGUUGAUCACCAAAACAUACAUCAAGUGGCACAUGAUAUCCCAUUGUCACCACAGAUAAUCACAGCAAGACAUACAUCAAGUGUUCUCAUAAAGACUCAAUCCAAUAAGAUAACUUCAAAGGGGAAACUCAAUUCAUCACAACAGAGUAGAGGGGGAGAAACAUCAUAAGAUCCAACUACAAUAGCAAAGCUCGGGAUACAUCAAGAUCGUGCCAUAGAGGAACACGAGAGAGAGAGAGAUCAAACACAUAGCUACUAGUACAUACCCUCAGCCCCGAGGGUGAACUACUCCCUCCUCGUCAUGGAUAGCGCCGGGAUGAUGGAGAUGGCCACCGGUAAUGGGAUCCCCCUCCGGCAGGGUGCCGGAAUGGUCUCCCGAGAGGUUUUUGGUGGCUAUAGAGGCUUGCGGCGGUGGAACUCCCGAUCUAUCUUCUGUUCUGGAAGUUUUAGGGUACGUAGGAAUAUAUGGGUGAAAGGAGUACGUCAGUGGAGCUACGGGGGCCCCACGAGACAGGGGGCGUGCCCAGGGGGUGGGCGCGCCCCCACCCUCGUGGGAAGCCCGUACCUCCCCUGACAUGCACUCCAAGUUCCCUGGGUUGCUUUCCUUCCAAAAAUAACUUCUCCAGUUGAUUUUGUUCCGUUUUGACUCCGUCUGAUAUUCUUUUUCCUCGAAACACUGAAAUAGGCAUAAAACAAAAAAUCUGGGCUGGGCCUCCGGUUAAUAGGUUAGUCCCAAAAAUAAUAUAAAAGUGGAUAAUAAAGCCCAAUAUUGCCCAAAACAGUAGAUAAAGUAGCAUGGAGCAAUCAAAAAUUAUAGAUACGUUGGAGACGUAUCAAGGUGCGGGACCACCUGCUCUUGCGCGGUUUCAUGGAUGGCUAUCGGUGGCAAGGUGAUGAAGAUGAUUAUGAAGUCGUCCAUGGGGGUCGAGCAAGAAAUGAGGAAGGGCAACAAGACAACCGCGGCGAGGGCGGGCGAGAAGACGAAGAAUCUCCAGGACAUGAUCACAAAGUAGAUGCAGUACACAGUCAUCAUGUAGAAGAUGCCAGACAUGAUGAUGAGGAAGAUCAAGACGAAGGGCAUGAUCAUGAAGAUGAAUAUGCCGGAGUAGACGAUGAUGGACCAUCGAUGGGCUGGGUGCAGGACCCUCAUAUUCAAGAGCUGCUUCUCAAGCAGACGGACAACGCAAGAGCUGCCGCCCGAGAGAAAGCCAAGCUGGAUCAAGUAGAGAUAGACGGGGUUACUCCAUUGUAUGAAGGAUGCAUGCCCGAGGAUACCUGCCUGAAAGUAACGCUCAUGACUCCAGAGAUGAAGGUAAAACACAAAAUGACCGACGCAUGCUUCGACGAGAACAUGUCAUUUUGGCACAAACGUCUUCCCAAGGGGAACAAGUGCCCGACCAGUUUCGAGGAGGCGAAGAAAAUCGUGUGUCCUAUGGAUUUACCGCACGUGAAAUACCAUGUGUGCAUGAACAAUUGCAUCAUUUAUCGAGACGAGCACGCGGAGUCUACCAUAUGUCCGGUGUGCGACGUCACUCAAUACAAGAAGAGGAAGAAAGCUCCUCGAAAAUUGCUGUGGUACUUUCCGAUCACUCCUCGUCUAUAGCGGUAUUUCGCGGACCCUAAGGUAGGAAAGCUCCUAAGUUGGCACGCGGAUAGGGAGGAGAAGAAGCGAGAAGAUGACGGAAAUGAUCCGGAGAUAAAUAAAAAAGACAAGAUGCUGAGUUACCCUAAGAAUGCGAGCCAGUGGCAAGCGUUGAACUUUGAACACCCAGAAUUUGGGGAAGAUCCAAGGAACAUCAUGCUGGGCGCGAGCACCGAUGGAGUCAAUCCGUUUGGCAGCCAGAGAAGCACACAUAGCACCUGGCCUGUGUUUGUGUGGAUGUACAACCUUCCCCCCUAGUUGUGCAUGAAGAGGAAGUACAUUCACAUGAGUAUGCUAAUUGAAGGGCCGAAACAACCAGGGAACGACAUCAAUCUGUAUCUGGGGCUGCUGAAAGAGGAGCUAGAAACACUGUGGAACACACCAGCCAAUACGUGGGACGCUGCAGAGAAAGAAUAUUUCCCUAUGAGAGCCGCACUGCUCACGACGGUGCACGACUAUCUCGGUUACGGAUAUGUCGCGGGACAGGUGGUCCACGGAUUUUUUGGAUGCGUCAGGUGCAUGGAUCACACGACGUAUCGCCAGCUAGAUAGAGAUCUCGGGUCUUCGAAAAUUGUGUUCAUGGGACAUCGAAGGUGGCUUCACGACGAUGACUCAUGGAGAAAACACAAGGAUCUGUUCGAUGGUGAAACCGAACCCCGAAGACGCCCGCGUACGAGGAGCGGCGAGGAAAUAGAUGAGCUGUUGAAAAAUUGGAAAGAGUGCCCACCGCCGGGAAAGAAGCGAAAGGCGCCAGAGCCGGGAAAGAAGCGAAGGACGCUAGAGCCACUGCUGAAGGUAUGGAAAACGAGGUCUGUUUUUUGGGACUUGCCGUACUGGAAGAUUCUCCGUGUGCCUCACAGCCUUGAUGUCAUGCAUAUCGCAUAGAACAUGUGUGAGAGUCUGCUUGGUACUUUGCUCAACAUGCCAGAGAGGACCAGGGAGGAGCAAGGGCAAACUUGAAAUCAAUGGGCAUCAGGGAGGAGCUUCACGCUAAUGAUGAUGAUGAUGAGGCGAAGGACACGGGAAGUCGUCGCAAAGGCAAAAAGGCCAAGAAGAUCGGAAAUGACUGCCCUCCUGCUUGCUUCACUCUAAGUCGGGAGGAGAUCGAGCAGUUUUUCACCUGCCUCGUAAGAGUAAAACUUCCUUAUGGUUACGCGGGGAAGAUAACAGAUACCUAGACUCACCGAAGCAGAAGUUCAGCGGGAUAAAGUCUCAUGACUGUCAUGUGCUGAUGACGCAAAUACUUCCAGUUGUAAUCCGUGGGAUCAUGGACGUGCACGUCCGUGAAACGCUAUUUGGCCUAUGCAACUUUUUCGACGUCAUCUCUUGGAAGUCGGUUGGCGUGAGGCAACUCAGAAGGCUACAGGAAGAGAUCAUGGUGAUACUAUGCGAGCUUGAGAUGUACUUCCCGCCCGCAUUCUUCAAUGUUAUGGUGCAUCUGCUAGUCCAUAUCAUGGAGGAUAUCAUCCAACAAGGGCCGAUGUUCCUGCAUAGCAUGAUGCCAUUCAAAAGGAUGAAUGGUGUCAUCAAAGGAUACGUUUGCAACAUGUCACGUCCAUAGGGAAUCAUAGCCAAGGGCUUUCUGACCGAAGAGUGCAUCUCCUACUGCAUGAAUUAUCUAGGCACCGAGAACCCCGUUGGUCUGCCCGUCAACAGGCACCUCGGCAGGCUCACUGGAUGGGGUCACCGCGAGGGUCGCCGCGAAAUGCAUGUCAACUUCAAGGGUUGACUCGCCGACUUUGAAAGAGCAAACCUAGUCGUGCUACAACACAUAGACAUGGUCGAUCCUUCGGUGGUAGAGCACAAUACCUUUAUUGAGAAGAUGUACAAUGACCGAGGCCAACACAGGAUAGACGGAGAUAUAAUCAAAGAGCACAACUCAUGUUUCACGCGUUGGUUCAAGGAGAAGCUUCUGUCGUACCCUUUACAUGAGGAUUCUUCCGCGGAAGAAAAACUCAUAUUCGCCUUGACAAAGGGCGUCGAGCACAACCUGAUGACCUAUGAGGCAUACGAUAUCAAUGGCUACACAUUCUACACCGAGGAAAAGGACAUGAAGGGCGAUGAUUAUCAGAACUCCGGGGUAACGAUGCAAUCCUACACCGGUAAUGAAAAGGACAGAUACUACGGAACGAUCGAGGAGAUCUGGGAGCUGAGCUACGCUGGAGAGAAGGUCCCGAUGUUUUGUGUCAGAUGGGCCAAGAGCGUCCUAAAAGAAGACCGGUAUUUCACCACCAUGGUUAUACCCGAAGCCAAAUCCAAGACCGCGGGUGCAAACGUCACCGCGAAAAAUGAGCCAUGGGUACUGGCUUCCCAAGUGGACCAAUGCUUCUUCAUUACCGACCCGUCAAAGCCCAGUCUUGUUAUCGCGAGGAGAGGCAAAAGGAAGAUCAUCGGAAUGGAUGGAGUCGCCAAUGAGCAAGACUUCGACAAGUACGGCGACCCGAAGAUGGAACAUGACGAUGAUGAUGAAGUACCAUACACCACAAGAAGAAGCAGGACCACCCUACCUAAAGGACGUCCGUUCAAGAGAAGAACUCCAUUUGCGAAAAAGAAGGGCAAGAAGAUUGUGAAAAGAUAGCUAAGCUCGAUUCAUGAUGUGUCCGCCGCGCGCGCGUGUGUGUGUGUCGGUGGCAAGCUCAAUUGUGUGUGAAAAGAUAGCUAAGAUUUCAGCCAUGUAAUCGAUCUAAUUCUAAAUCUUUGCAUAAUGGUUUAAAUUGUAGUCUUCAUUUCUUGAUUGUAUUUCGACAUAUGGAAAUGGCAUUUCUUCUGUUCUAGUCCUCUAUCCAGUAACCUCUUUUGUUCAAAAUUGUGGGGAUUAAUGUUUUCUUCUGGUAUUUUAAUUGUUUUUAUUUAUGUUUAUUCUGGUAAAAUAAAAAAAAGUUAGUAAUGGCGCACCAGGAGAAGGUGCGCCAUUGCUAUCAAGGUAUUUAUGGCGCACCCCCUAGGAGGUGCGUCAUUGAUAUACAAAUUUUUAUUUAUGUUUAUUCUGGUAUUUGGAACAUAGGGUCUCUGACAUGGAAGCUUCGGGAGCUAGUUGAUGCAGCGGUGAGGAGAGGUGUUGAUAUCCUUUGCGUCCAAGAAACCAAAUGGAGAGGACAGAAGGCGAAGGAGGUGGAGGAUACCGGCUUCAAGCUAUGGUACACGGGGAUGGCUGCAAACAGAAAUGGCGUAGGCAUCUUUAUCAACAAGAGCCUCAAGUAUGGAGUGGUAGACGUCAAGAGACGUGGGGACCGGAUUAUCCUGGUCAAGCUGGUAGUUGAGGACUUGGUUCUCAAUGUUAUCAGCGCGUAUUCCCCGCAAGUAGGCCACAAUGAGAACACCAAGAGGGAGUUCUGGGAAGGCCUGGAAGACAUGGUUAGGAGUGUACCGAUUGGUGAGAAGCUCUUCAUAGGAGGAGACCUCAAUGGCCACGUGGGUACAUCUAACACAAGUUUUGAAGGGGCGCAUGGGGGCUUUGGCUAUGGCAUCAGGAAUCAAGAAGGAGAAGAUGUCUUAAGCUUUGCUCUAGCCUACAACAUGAUUGUAGCCAACACCCUCUUUAGAAAGAGAGAAUCACAUCUGGUGACUUUUAGUAGUGGCCAACACUCUAGCCAGAUUGAUUUCAUCCUCUCGAGAAGGGAAGAUAGGCGUGCGUGCCUAGACUGUAAGGUGAUACCUGGAGAGAGUGUUGUACCCCAGCAUAAGCUGGUGGUUGCUGACUUCCGCUUUCGGAUUCAUGUCCAGCGGGCUAAGCGGGCUAAAGUCGCUAGAACGAAGUGGUGGAAGCUCAAGGGGAGGUAGCUCAGGCGUUCAAGGAGAGGGUCAUUAAGGAGGGCCCUUGGGAGGAAGGAGGGGAUGCGGAAAAUGUGUGGAUGAAGAUGGCGACUUGCAUUCGUAAGGUGGCCUCACAGGAGUUUGGAGUUUCCAGGGGAAGGAGAAGCGAAGAUAAGGAUACUUGGUGGUGGAAUGAUGAUGUCCAGAAGGCGAUUAAAGAGAAGAAAGAUUGCUUCAAACACCUAUACCUGGAUAGGAGUGCACACAACAUAGAGAAGUACAAGAUGGUGAAGAAGGCCGCAAAGCGAGCUGUUGGUGAAGCAAGGGGUCGGGCGUAUGAGGACCUCUACCAACGGUUAGGCACGAAGGAAGGCGAAAGGGACAUCUAUAAGAUGGCCAAGAUCCGAGAGAGGAAGACGAGGGAUAUUGGCCAAGUCAAAUGCAUCAAGGACGGAGCAGGCCAACUCUUGGUGAAGGACGAGGAGAUUAAGCAUAGAUGGCGGGAGUACUUCGACAAGCUGUUCAAUGGGGAGAAUGAAAGCUCUACCAUUGAACUGGACGACUCGUUUGAUGAGACCAGCAUGCGUUUUGUGCGUCGAAUCCAGGAGUCUGAGUUCAAGGAGGAUUUAAAAGGAUGAAGGGAGGCAAGGCGAUGGGCCCGGAUUGUAUCCCCAUUGAGGUGUGGAAAUGUCUCGGGACAUAGCGAUAGUAUGGCUAACCAAGCUUUUCAACCUCAUUUUUCGGGCAAACAAGAUGCCAGAAGAAUGGAGACGGGGUAUAUUAGUACCAAUCUUCAAGAACAAGGGGGAUGUUCAGAGUUGUACUAAUUACCGUGGAAUUAAGCUGAUGAGCCAUACAAUGAAGCUAUGGGAGAGAGUCAUUGAGCACCGCUUAAGAAGAAUGACAAGCGUGACCAAAAACCAGUUUGGUUUCAUGCCUGGGAGGUCGACCAUGGAAGCCAUUUUCUUGGUACGACAGCUUAUGGAGAGAUAUAGGGAGCAAAAGAAGGACUAGCAUAUGGUGUUCAUUGACUUGGAGAAGGCCUAUGAUAAGAUACCGCGGAAUGUCAUGUGGUGGGACUUGGAGAAACACAAAGUCCCAGCAAAGUACAUUACCCUCAUCUAGGACAUGUACGAUAAUGUUGUGACAAGUGUUCGAACAAGUGAUGUCGACACUGAUGACUUCCCGAUUAAGAUAGGACUGCAUCAGGGGUCAGCUUUGAGCCCUUAUCUUUUCGCAUUGGUGAUGGAUGAGGUCACAAGGGAUAUACAAGGAGAUAUCCCAUGGUGUAUGCUCUUUGCGGAUGAUGUGGUGCUAGUUGACGAUAGUCGGGCGGGGGUAAAUAGGAAGUUAGAGUUAUGGAGACAAACCUUGGAAUCGAAAGGGUUUAGGCUUAGUAGGACUAAAACCAAGUACAUGAUGUGCAGUUUCAGUACUACUAGGUGUGAGGAGGAGGAGGUUAGCCUUGAUGGUCAGGUGGUACCUCAGAAGGACACCUUUCGGUAUUUGGGGUCAAUGUUGCAGGAGGAUGGGGGUAUUGAUGAAGAUGUGAACCAUCGGACCAAAGCCGGAUGGAUGAAGUGGCGCCAAGCUUCUGGCAUUCUCUGUGACAAGAGAGUGCCACAAAAGCUAAAAGGCAAGUUCUACAGGAUGGCGGUUCGACCCGCAAUGUUGUAUGGCGCUGAGUGUUGGCCGACUAAAAAGGCGACAUGUUCAAUAGUUAGGUGUGGCGGAGAUGCGUAUGUUGAGAUGGAUGUGUGGCCACACGAGGAAGGAUCGAGUCCGGAAUGAUGAUAUACGAGAUAGAGUUGGGGUAGCUCCAAUUGAAGAGAAGCUUGUCCAACAUCGUCUGAGAUGGUUUGGGCAUAUCCAGCGCAGGCCUCCAGAAGCUCCAGUGCAUAGAAGAUGGCUAAAGCGUGUGGAGAAUGUCAAGAGAGGGCGGGGUAGACUGAAUUUGACAUGGGAGGAGCCCGUUAAGAGAGACCUGAAGGAUUGGGGUAUCACCGAAGAGCUAGCUAUGGACAGGGGUGCAUGGAAGCUUGUUAUCCAUGUGCCAGAGCCAUGAGUUGGUUGCGAGAUCUUAUGGGUUUCACCUCUAGCCUACCCCAACUUGCUUGGGACUAAAGGCUUUGUUGUUGUUGUUGUUGUUGUUGUUGUUGUUGUUGUUGUUGUUGUUGUUGUUGUUGUUGUUGUUGUUGUAUUUUAUUUUUCAGUGUUCCUUUUCCUGCUUAAAUUUGCAAACAUUUUUUUAACUCACAAAAAGUAUUGAAUUUGUUAAUAUUCUUUGAACUCAUGAAUAUUUUUAAAUUUCAUGGGCACUUUUUGAAUUCAUGAAUAUUUUUUCAAAUUUGAUGAUAUUUUUCAUAUUCAUAAAUGUUUUACCAAUUCACAAAUGUUUUGCAACGCUAGAGAUUUGAAAAUUAGUAAUAACUACUUAUAUCGUAACAUUUAAAAAAUUAUGGUCAUUUUCUAAAGAAUUAUUACAUGCAACUAAAAAUCCAAAAAAAGUUAGUAAUGGCGCACUAGGGGAAGGUGCGCCAUUGCUAUCAUGGUGCUUAUGGCGCACCCUAGAAGGUGCGCCAUUGGUAUACGUAUGUUUAUGGCGCACCCCUAAAAGGUGCGCCAUUGCUAACCCUCCCCCACUCCACUUGCUCCCCUCUCCCUCUGGCCUCUCUCCCUCCCUCGCCAGAUCCACCUCGCCCCACACCUAACCCAACGACCCCCGCGGGAGCACGCCGCCGUCCGCCUGUGCCCGCUCCACCGCCGCCGCCCUGCCUCCUCGGGCCCCUCCUCCCCACUUGCCCCCUCGCGCUUCCCCUUGCCCUCUCCACCCUCUCCUCUCCCCUAGAGCCCAGAAAGCCUCUCCGCCGUCGCCCCGUCCCAGACAACCACCUCUGCACAUCGGUCACCGGACACGGGGAGACACCAGCCCUAUACGAGCCGGACAGCCACACGCGGAUCCAGCACGGGUUUGGACUCGGCUCCGCCCCCGCCCCCGUCUUCCUCAACUCCGGACACCUCAACUCCGGUCUCUGCUCCACCUCUGCUUGCCGCUGCACCUCCCUGGUGAGCUCCGCCUCCUCUCCGCAGUGAUUUAGUCGGUAGGAUAGUGGUCAAAGCAGUGGACGAUGGUGAAGGUCGGAUUCGCCAUGUAUUUAGGAACCUGUUUGGGUGCUUUGGCCGGGGCGGCCGGCCUGAGAGUUCCUUGCAGUCCCGUAGUGGCUGAGCAAUGUUCUUCAUGGUAACUCAUUUUCAAUUGAUGAUAGUGGUGAAUAAGUAGGAGUUAGUAUAAGGAGGAAACCCCAGGUGAUGAGUUCUUGGUUAGUUUGAUGUAAAUGAAGGGCUUGCAUUCCCCCCCUUUUGUCUCGUUUUAAGAAUUUAGAGUUGGCCAUGAGCAAACUAGUCAGAAAUGAAAUUUUAUAGCAAAUCAGGAAGAACAAGCCCAAGCCUUGAAGAAUGGGAUAGCAGUGAAUUAUGGGGGAAAUCAGUCACUCGCAAUAUUCUAGGCAAAGAGAACAAUUGGU
This 18765-nucleotide long non-coding RNA is filed under the name Triticum aestivum (bread wheat). RNAcentral's name for it is "long non-coding RNA (TAES_LNC027786)". The record is from RNAcentral. Lineage: Eukaryota; Viridiplantae; Streptophyta; Magnoliopsida; Poales; Poaceae.